UAUCUAAAAAUACGUCUUAACUCGAAGA
Molecule: non-coding RNA, 28 nt
Filed under: Rattus norvegicus (Norway rat)
Lineage: Eukaryota; Metazoa; Chordata; Mammalia; Rodentia; Muridae
Source: RNAcentral